RNAcentral lists this ribosomal RNA (733 nucleotides) under uncultured eukaryote. RNAcentral describes it as "SSU rRNA". It matches the Rfam family "Eukaryotic small subunit ribosomal RNA", at positions 672 to 1426 of the family's 1831-position model. The record is from RNAcentral.
GGCGUGUACUGCUUGGCUGGGCCUUACUUCUUGGUGAGCCGGCGUGCCCUUUAUUGGUGUGCGUCGGGGAACCAGGACUUUUACCUUGAGAAAAUUAGAGUGUUCAAAGCACGCCUAUGCCUGAAUACAUUAGCAUGGAAUAAUAGAAUAGGACGUGCGGUUCUAUUUUGUUGGUUUCUAGAGUCGCCGUAAUGAUUAAUAGGGACAGUUGGGGGCAUUGGUAUUGAGUCGCUAGAGGUGAAAUUCUUGGAUUGACUCAAGACCGACUAUUGCGAAAGCAUUUGCCAAGGAUGUUUUCAUUAAUCAAGAACGAAGGUUAGGGGAUCGAAAACGAUCAGAUACCGUUGUAGUCUUAACAGUAAACUAUGCCGACUAGGGAUCGGAUGACCUCAAAAUUGAUGUGUCAUUCGGCACCUUACGAGAAAUCAAAGUCUUUUGGGUUCUGGGGGGAGUAUGGUCGCAAGGCUGAAACUUAAAGGAAUUGACGGAAGGGCACCACCAGGUGUGGAGCCUGCGGCUUAAUUUGACUCAACACGGGGAAACUCACCAGGUCCAGACAUAACUAGGAUUGACAGAUUGAUAGCUCUUUCAUGAUUUUAUGGGUGGUGGUGCAUGGCCGUUCUUAGUUGGUGGAGUGAUUUGUCUGGUUAAUUCCGAUAACGAACGAGACCUUAACCUGCUAAAUAGCCAGGCCGGCUUCGGCUGGUCUCUGGCUUCUUAGAGGGACUGUCAG